RNAcentral lists this unclassified non-coding RNA (155 nucleotides) under uncultured bacterium. RNAcentral's name for it is "partial 16S-23S ribosomal RNA intergenic spacer". The record is from RNAcentral.
CUAGGGAGCCGGCCAUAGGGCCGGCGACGUUCUCCACUUUGAUCACGGAGAACGGUACUAAUGUCGACGAGCUCGUCGUCCUGGCUUCGGCCAGGCGCAAUCUGCUGAGUUUUGAGGGACUGAUCGCAGGAAUCACCUGUGAUUGCUCCUCGGCG